RNAcentral lists this ribosomal RNA (465 nucleotides) under uncultured bacterium. RNAcentral describes it as "partial 16S ribosomal RNA". It matches the Rfam family "Bacterial small subunit ribosomal RNA", at positions 28 to 507 of the family's 1533-position model. The record is from RNAcentral.
GGCGAACGCUGGCGGCGUGCUUAACACAUGCAAGUCGUACGGUAAGGCCCUUUCGGGGGUCCACGAGUGGCGAACGGGUGAGUAACACGUGAGUAACCUGCCCACAACUUUGGGAUAACGCUAGGAAACUGGUGCUAAUACUGGAUAUGUGCUCCUGCUGCAUGGUGGGGGUUGGAAAGCUCCGGCGGUUGUGGAUGGACUCGCGGCCUAUCAGCUUGUUGGUGGGGUAGUGGCCUACCAAGGCGGCGACGGGUAGCCGGCCUGAGAGGGUGACCGGCCACAUUGGGACUGAGAUACGGCCCAGACUCCUACGGGAGGCAGCAGUGGGGAAUAUUGCACAAUGGGCGCAAGCCUGAUGCAGCAACGCCGCGUGCGGGAUAACGGCCUUCGGGUUGUAAACCGCUUUCAGCAGGGACGAAGCUUUUUGUGACGGUACCUGCAGAAGAAGCACCGGCUAACUACGUG